AGAAGGGUUAAGAACAGCCUGGACUUGGGUCCCACAUCAGGUUGGUGUUGAGAAGUUUUCAGUUAUUAUUCAGCUACCUACAUCGCUGGGAGGGGUAGGAGGUCCCUCUAAGCUGAGAUGCACAGUUGAAGAAUGUAGGCAGGACAGCUGCAGGUGUCAGGGCAGCUACAGAUGGAGUACAAACUGCCCCAGAGGGAGGAGGGAAACCACAGGUGGGGGUGCCCCAACUCAGUGCACUGCUGCCACACCCACCGUCCCCCAGUUCUUGCUAAGCAGCAGCAUCCAUGAGUGGAGUGGUUGAUUUGCCUGAGCCAGUGGGGAGGCCCCUGGGCCAGGGAGAACCCACAGGGUGUGGAGGAGUGGCAUGAGGGCCCCACCUCUCAGGUGACUGGAGAGCAGCCUCAGAGCCCCAGCUGUCAUCCUGUGGUCACAGCAUUAGCUGGGAGAGCUCCUUUCCAUGGGGACCUGCAUGAACCCCAGACUCUUCUGUGUGACGCUUUGUCUCCUGGGAACAGGCCUCGUGGACGCUGUGAUCACCCAGAGGCCCCGACACCUUAUCCUACACACGGGAAAAAAGACAACCCUGGAGUGUUCUCAGAACCUGAACCAUUAUGCAAUGUUCUGGUACCGACAAGACCCAGGACAGGGGCUGAAGCUGCUGCACUACUCAGACAGUGUUGGCAGCACAGCUGAAGGAGAAGCCUCCCAAGGGUCCAGUGUCUCCAGGGAUCAGAAGGAGCAUUUCCCCCUGACCCUGGAGUCCCCCAGCACCAGCCAGUCCUCCCUGUACCUCUGUGCCAGUAGCGAAGCCACAGCAGGGCACAGCCAGCUGCUCUCUGCACAAGAAGUGCAGCCACAGGGUUCAGGUGGACUCUCCUUCCAGAGCCCCUGCCUCAUCCAGCAGAAAACAUUGUCCUGAAGCCCCUCCAAGACUGCCAGCCUCCACCCCAUGGACCUCGUGCAGCAUGGAUA
Marmota flaviventris (yellow-bellied marmot) is the source of this 972-nucleotide non-coding RNA. The record is from the annotation of a RefSeq genome assembly. NCBI's taxonomy places the organism in Eukaryota, Metazoa, Chordata, Mammalia, Rodentia, Sciuridae.